RNAcentral lists this ribosomal RNA (652 nucleotides) under uncultured Bacteroides sp. Its description in RNAcentral is "bacterial SSU rRNA". It matches the Rfam family "Bacterial small subunit ribosomal RNA", at positions 69 to 715 of the family's 1533-position model. Lineage: Bacteria; Pseudomonadati; Bacteroidota; Bacteroidia; Bacteroidales; Bacteroidaceae. The record is from RNAcentral.
AUGGUCUUAGCUUGCUAAGGCCGAUGGCGACCGGCGCACGGGUGAGUAACACGUAUCCAACUUGCCGUCUACUCUUGGACAGCCUUCUGAAAGGAAGAUUACUACAAGAUGGCAUCAUGAGUCCGCAUGUUCACAUGAUUAAAGGUAUUCCGGUAGACGAUGGGGAUGCGUUCCAUUAGAUAGUAGGCGGGGUAACGGCCCACCUAGUCUUCGAUGGAUAGGGGUUCUGAGAGGAAGGUCCCCCACAUUGGAACUGAGACACGGUCCAAACUCCUACGGGAGGCAGCAGUGAGGAAUAUUGGUCAAUGGGCGAGGGCCUGAACCAGCCAAGUAGCGUGAAGGAUGACUGCCCUAUGGGUUGUAAACUUCUUUUAUAAAGGAAUAAAGUCGGGUAUGGAUACCCGUUUGCAUGUACUUUAUGAAUAAGGAUCGGCUAACUCCGUGCCAGCAGCCGCGGUAAUACGGAGGAUCCGAGCGUUAUCCGGAUUUAUUGGGUUUAAAGGGAGCGUAGGUGGACAUGUAAGUCAGUUGUGAAAGUUUGCGGCUCAACCGUAAAAUUGCAGUUGAUACUGUGUGUCUUGAGUACAGUAGAGGUGGGCGGAAUUCGUGGUGUAGCGGUGAAAUGCUUAGAUAUCACGAAGAACUCCGAUUG